This 871-nucleotide ribosomal RNA is filed under the name Plenodomus visci. RNAcentral's name for it is "partial large subunit ribosomal RNA". It matches the Rfam family "Eukaryotic large subunit ribosomal RNA", at positions 59 to 947 of the family's 3401-position model. The record is from RNAcentral. Lineage: Eukaryota; Fungi; Ascomycota; Dothideomycetes; Pleosporales; Leptosphaeriaceae.
AAGAAACCAACAGGGAUUGCCCUAGUAACGGCGAGUGAAGCGGCAACAGCUCAAAUUUGAAAUCUGGCUCUUUCAGGGUCCGAGUUGUAAUUUGCAGAGGGCGCUUUGGCGUUGGCAGCGGUCCAAGUUCCUUGGAACAGGACGUCACAGAGGGUGAGAAUCCCGUACGUGGUCGCUGGCCUCCGCCGUGUAAAGCCCCUUCGACGAGUCGAGUUGUUUGGGAAUGCAGCUCUAAAUGGGAGGUAAAUUUCUUCUAAAGCUAAAUACUGGCCAGAGACCGAUAGCGCACAAGUAGAGUGAUCGAAAGAUGAAAAGCACUUUGGAAAGAGAGUCAAAUAGCACGUGAAAUUGUUGAAAGGGAAGCGCUUGCAGCCAGACUUGCCUGUAGUUGCUCAUCUGGGCUCUUGCCCGGUGCACUCUUCUGCGGGCAGGCCAGCAUCAGUUUGGGCGGUUGGAUAAAGGUCUCUGUCAUGUACCUCUCUUCGGGGAGGCCUUAUAGGGGAGACGACAUGCAACCAGCCUGGACUGAGGUCCGCGCAUUUUGCUAGGAUGCUGGCGUAAUGGCUGUAAGCGGCCCGUCUUGAAACACGGACCAAGGAGUCUAACAUCUAUGCGAGUGUUUGGGUGUCAAGCCCGAACGCGUAAUGAAAGUGAACGGAGGUGGGAACCCGUAUGGGUGCACCAUCGACCGAUCCUGAUGUCUUCGGAAGGAUUUGAGUAAGAGCAUGGCUGUUGGGACCCGAAAGAUGGUGAACUAUGCUUGAAUAGGGUGAAGCCAGAGGAAACUCUGGUGGAGGCUCGCAGCGGUUCUGACGUGCAAAUCGAUCGUCAAAUUUGGGCAUAGGGGCGAAAGACUAAUCGAACUAUCUAG